AGGUGUAACAUAUUGUGUGAACUGUUCAAUAAGGGGAGUGUGAGAGUAAGGAAAACACAGUAAACUCUUCCCUGGGGACCGCAGAGUGCCUCCGCCCAUCUGAAGUGCUGGACACAACCAGAAAUUAGCCUUGUGCAAAUGAGCAUGGUAAGUAUCUGGAAGCUUUCUUGCACGCCUGCUGUAAAAUUAAUACAUUUUGUCCUCCAUACCUGUUACAAAGAAACCUUUCGACAAACUAUAGGGGUUGGGUUGCCAAAGAAUGGCCACAGCCUUUUGUUAAUGAACCCUAUCAGCCAUUAGGAGAGGAAGCCAGUGCUUCUAGCUUUCUGCUCUGAACCAUAACUUAUAUUUGUGCUGCAAUCCAACAUCUGAAAAGUAUGUGGGCUACAAAACAUCUUUAUAACACAAAUAAAAGGCUGUAUAUGUCACAGCAGUUGUGUCUCCCAGCAAUUAGGGGUUGAAUAGGUACAUGUAAGAGUGGAAAUCGUAAUGUACAUACAAUCAAAUGCAUAUUCAGGUUUCAGUAAAAGGAUACUGAUUCAUCUGUUGUGGGUUCUUUGUUGAUUUUGAAAAGCUUUUGAAACCGUUACAUUUAGCCUGUAGAGAGGGAUUUACUCCCUAUCUUUCCACACUCUUGUAACAUCAAAAGAUUUGCUGAAGGACAACUGCUGAAGGACAAUUGGGCCACUUUGAAAGGCUUUUGAAUAACUCCCUAAAUAGUAUUUUUUUUUUCAUGAUGAAUUGUGUAUGUAUGUGUGUGUGGUUGUGGGGGGGGCAUUUGUAGAUUGUAAUCAAACAAACAUUUAGUUUAAUUCUUUCAUCAUACCCUCUGUCUGCAAUUUUAUCUUAAUCAAUUUGUCUUGAUCAAUUUGUCUUGUCAAUUUUGGGGUAUAAAAUGGGUAAAUCAUGAAUACAAAGUCUGGUCCACAGGCAACAAGACAUGGUUGCCUAAUGUUGUGUUCUAUUACAGCAAAGCUUGAAAUUGUCUUUGUGAACAGCUGGCCUCCUCUUUGCCCUUGACUUUGAAAGCCAUCUUCUUCUCCCUGAGCCUGAGCCACUUGGCUCUCAGCAGGUGCAGCCUGUUAGGAGUGCCCCAGACCAGAUUUGCAUGGUGGCUUGUUUAUUUGCCGUUAUGACUAAGGACUGAUUUGUGUUGCUGGGCUGAAAGACGUCUGCCAGUUCCAUUCGUGUAGCCUAUGCCAAAAGCCACUCUCAGAUCCAUUUUCAUAACAAGCGUGUUGCCAGCUUGACACAAGCCAAGGGCUCAAAUCCCCCAGCCUGUUAUGAAUGUUGGUGUACAUUUCUUAAAGUGUGUGCCAUUGUUCAGAGUCGUCUCACAUACAGAUUACCAAUGAGUCAUUACCAGAGCUGGAUUCCCAAAGACAAUAGCAUUAGUCAUUGUUCGGUUAAAUGUGAUGUAUGCAAUUGUCAGAGGCCGAGGUGCUUCAAGGCUUCUCAGAUCACAAUUUAUUUUGUGUAGAAAAUUAUUGAAUACGCCUAUAAAUUGACCAAUGUUGAAUAAUUGUACCGAGGUGCAAUGCAAUGAGUCACCAGGUCAGAUAUGGCAUGUUAAUUCCUUUAAAGUCCCUCAAAUGAAUCUAAUAAUUAUUGACUUUUCUGAGUGUGUGUAAUGUUCAAAUGGAUCAUUAUCCCCCAUUGGUAGUGGAAAGGAGUUAACGGCACAGGAGAACAAAGGAGGGGUGUACUUUAUGAUUGAAGAUGAAUUAUAUUAAUCGAAGCUGACAGAAUCAAAACAUUUGACAGUGAUAUACAAUGACACCAUCUGUUUGUAGUGCAUUGGCACUGGCUUGUUUUCCCCACACAAACACAAACAUGACAUAAUGCACUUGGCUUGGCAGAGUCAACCUGGGGAUUUGGGAAGGAAUCAAAGACACUUGCAAGUCUUUCAGUCCAAGACUAACCACAGUAAAAUAAGUCAAAUAAGUAAACCCAUGUUAUAUUCUGCAUGAUUAUGUUAAAAUGCAGUACAGUAUAUACCAUAGUAACACUGCAGUUAACCCUGAUUGUACUCAAAUGCGCAUAUGGAUGUUCUCCACCAUUUUGGCAUGCAGAGAGAGAUUAUUUGGAGCAGAUGUAGUGGAUAUUACCAGGGAAACAUUCACUCAGACAAGUUAAUAAGCAACACCAGUUGUUGAGUUUUCAGCUGAGCGCAUUACCCAGGCCAUGCAUGAAAUGGUUUCAUUUUCCAUCACUGUUUGUUUUCCCUGAUCAUUUCCAUGAUAGAGAAAGAAAACGGAAUUACUGUUGUUGAACCUAUUGAGGUGUACAGCUCCCCAGUCCUGCCAGUUCACAAAUGAGCUUGGCAUCAGGGUCGAUUGCAUGGCAAGGAUGGUGUCUGCAUAGGCUCAGCACGCAAGGAAGUGUCUCAUGCCAACCACUGCCAAGUGACUGACUGUGUCACGCCUGCUCACGCUCCUCCUCUCUGGCGCUCGAGGGCCAUCAUUACGCACACCUGUCACCACUGUUACGCGCAUCAGCGCUUCAUUGGACUCACCUGGACUCCAUCACUUAUUGCUUGCCUCCCCUAUAUCUGUCUAUUCCUCAGUUUCAUCCCCAUGUCAGCAUUAAUGUAGUUCUUGUUCCCCCUGUCCCCCUUGUUGUGUUUCAUGUUGGUUAUUUAUUGAAUAUUCACUCCCUGUAUUUGCUUCUCGUCUCCCAGUGUCUGUCCUCACAGAAUGUUGACACCACAACAUCAGGGAGAUUCUUUUUUUUUGGUGACGUCGAGUGCCACUCCCGAAGGAACCGGGGUGCCUCAGCUGGCUCGUCAGGCUUCCAUGCUUUAGCUGGCUCGAGAGGUUUUCUUGCCUCGGUUGGCUCGGCAGGCUCCCAUCCCACGUCAUUCCUCAGCCGGUUCGUCGAGCUCCCGCGCCUCAGCCGGCUCGUCAGGCUCCCACGCCUCAGCCGGCUCGUCAGGCUCCCGCACCUCAGCCGGCUCGUCAGGCUCCCGCGCCUCAGCCGGCUGGUUGGGUUCCCAUGCCUCGGCUGUCCCAGGUGGGACGCCGGGUGGCGCCCCUAGAAGGGGGGCUACUGUCACACCUGCUCCCGCUCCCCCUCUCUGGGGCUCUCUGGCACCAGACGGCCCAUCAUUACCCACACCUGUCAUCAUCGUUACACACAUCAGUGCUUCAUUGGACACACCUGGACCAUCACUUAUUGAUUGCCUCCCCUAUAUCUGUCUCUUCCUCAGUUUCAUCCCCUGUUGCAGCACUAAUGUCGUUUUUGUUCCCCCUGUUCAAACGCUGUCCUUGUUUUGUUUCAUGUCGGUUAUUUACUAAAUAUUCACUCCCUGUACUUGCUUCUCGUCUCCCAGCAUCUGCCCUCACAGACUGGCUGACUGGCAUGGGGAGGCGAGGGGGAGAAGAGAACAGGUGUCUAGACCAGACAGCAGUCAGUGAGCCUUUGCUCAUCACCACAACUGUCUUAUUUAUUCAGGAACAUCCACAAACUUACAGCACUCAGUUGUUGCAGUGUCAAAUUGAUUGCAGUUUCAAAUUCAAAUGGCAAAGAAUAGCCACAAAGCCAUGUUUUCUAACUUAUCCAAAGACUACAAUAACACCAUCAAGAAGACUGUCAAGCUUUGUCUCUUGCCUGUUUUUCAGAUGUGCAAAUGGUUCUGUGGAUGUGUAGCAUCUUCCCUGUCCAUGUCAACAAGUCAACUUGGCCAGGUGAAUGCCUACACUUUAUCAUGCAUGUAUUUUAUCAUUGUGAUUAAGUUAGCCAUGUCAUAAUAGUUUGUUGUGUUUCCAUACAACCUUCAUUUUCAUUGCAUUGCAUGCUUAUACUGUAGUUUUGAUUGGUAGUUUUCAUUUUGUUAUUGCUGAAAAUUUGAGCGGAACUUAUACUCUUCCCUUGAAGCAAUAUAAGAGGUUUUCCCAGUUCAUCAGGGGUUUUCUCGGUUCGCCGGGGUUUUCCAGGUUCGCCAGGGGGUUUUCCCGGUUCGCCGGGGUUUUCCAGGUUCGCCGGGGUAUUCCCGGUUCGCUGGGGUUUUCCAGGUUCGCCAGGGUUUUCCCAGUUCGCCGGGGUUUUCCCAGUUCACCGGGGUUUUCCCAGUUCGCCAGGGUUUCACUCGUUCACCAGGGUUGUACUAUAGUAAGUACACUGUAGUUUCACCAGUAUCACCUCUCCUACCUUUUUCAUCCCAGAGAGCAGAUCAUUGCUAAAGCAUCCUGUCUAUAAUUUCAUUUUCUACACAAAAGCCCCCAAAAAUGUAUUACAGCAUGCAGAACUAAUAGAUGUUUACUCAACUGUAGCUCAACCUGAGAUAUUUCUUUCUAUUUCCCCUCACUACAGGCAGUGAAAUAUACGUGCUGUUUCUGCAUUGUAUUUCCUCUGCUGCCAUUCUUCUGUGUUGAACGAAGGGACAAACAGGACAAAUCAAUUCUACAUUUGCUUUCACUUAAAUGCUGACAUUGUAUGUAAUGAGGUUCGUAUGUGAUGAGGUUCGUAUGUAAUGAAGUUCGUAGGUAAACUAAAACUGUGCAGUUAAAAGUGUGCUGUGCCAUUUCAAGGCAGAUAUCAACACAAUAGGUCAAAAUGUAUAAUUCAGCCAAUGUUAGUGUAUUUACAUUAAAAUCACUUUUUAUCCAA
This is a long non-coding RNA of Oncorhynchus tshawytscha (Chinook salmon), 4608 nucleotides long. RefSeq lists it as uncharacterized. The transcript is spliced from 2 exons. NCBI's taxonomy places the organism in Eukaryota, Metazoa, Chordata, Actinopteri, Salmoniformes, Salmonidae. The record is from RefSeq and is a predicted model, not a curated record.